AGAACGAACGCUGGCGGCAGGCUUAACACAUGCAAGUCGAGCGCCCCGCAAGGGGAGCGGCAGACGGGUGAGUAACGCGUGGGAACAUACCCUCCGGUUCGGAAUAGCUCAGGGAAACUUGGAUUAAUACCGGAUACGGCCUAGUGGCGAAAGAUUCAUCGCCGGAGGAUUGGCCCGCGUCUGAUUAGCUAGUUGGUGGGGUAAUGGCCCACCAAGGCGACGAUCAGUAGCUGGUCUGAGAGGAUGAUCAGCCACAUUGGGACUGAGACACGGCCCAAACUCCUACGGGAGGCAGCAGUGGGGAAUAUUGGACAAUGGGCGCAAGCCUGAUCCAGCCAUGCCGCGUGAGUGAUGACGGCCUUAGGGUUGUAAAGCUCUUUCGCUAGGGACGAUAAUGACGGUACCUAGACAAGAAGCCCCGGCUAACUUCGCGCCAGCAGCCGC
This 444-nucleotide ribosomal RNA is filed under the name uncultured bacterium. RNAcentral describes it as "SSU rRNA". It matches the Rfam family "Bacterial small subunit ribosomal RNA", at positions 26 to 518 of the family's 1533-position model. The record is from RNAcentral.